UACGGAGGGUGCAAGCGUUGUUCGGAUUUACUGGGCGUAAAGCGCGCGCAGGUGGAUGGACAAGUCGGAAGUGAAAUCUUGAGGCUCAACCUCGAGGCUGCUCCCGAAACUGUUCGUCUAGGGACUGGUAGAGGCUGGUAGAAUUCCCGGUGUAGCGGUGGAAUGCGUAGAGAUCGGGAAGAAUACCCGUGGCGAAGGCGGCCUGCUGGGCAGUUUCUGGACACUGAGGCGCGACAGCGUGGGGGAGCAAACAGGG
RNAcentral lists this ribosomal RNA (256 nucleotides) under uncultured bacterium. RNAcentral's name for it is "partial 16S ribosomal RNA". It matches the Rfam family "Bacterial small subunit ribosomal RNA", at positions 524 to 777 of the family's 1533-position model. The record is from RNAcentral.